ACCACCUUGCGCAUGGCCACAGGGGACGAAGCAGCUGCUAAGCGUCCUACGUGGGCGUUACAAUACUAAUACCAACUUACAGUGAUCAACGUUUCAGUUUCUUCAAUAUUUCAAGCCUUUGGCUCAGAUCUAUGAAACUAAGACUGGGCAAGCAGUGAACAGAUGUAGAAUUCCUCUCCUUUAAAAAUCUGAUCAGGACUGUGCCUGGCUAAGAAUUUCAUAAUCUGGUGAGUACAUAUUCAAUGUUUACAUUAUAAUGCUAGUGAAUUAAGCUAU
RNAcentral lists this long non-coding RNA (276 nucleotides) under Lepisosteus oculatus (spotted gar). Its description in RNAcentral is "lncRNA (ENSLOCG00000021139.1)". Lineage: Eukaryota; Metazoa; Chordata; Actinopteri; Semionotiformes; Lepisosteidae. The record is from RNAcentral.